Molecule: non-coding RNA, 105 nt
Filed under: Salix viminalis (osier)
Lineage: Eukaryota; Viridiplantae; Streptophyta; Magnoliopsida; Malpighiales; Salicaceae
Source: RNAcentral
GUGAGCCGUGUGAUGGGAAACCUUCCCGCACGGUUCGGAGAGCACUGGAGAAUUUCAGCACAACAUGCAAGAGCUCGCUCGAUUCGACCGAUCUUUCAUUUUGAU